RNAcentral lists this ribosomal RNA (349 nucleotides) under uncultured bacterium. RNAcentral describes it as "partial 16S ribosomal RNA". It matches the Rfam family "Bacterial small subunit ribosomal RNA", at positions 338 to 698 of the family's 1533-position model. The record is from RNAcentral.
CCUACGGGGGGCAGCAGUCGAGAAUCAUUCACAAUGGGGGAAACCCUGAUGGUGCGACGCCGCGUGGGGGAAUGAAGGUCUUCGGAUUGUAAACCCCUGUCAUGUGGGAGCAAAUGAAAAAGAUAGUACCACAAGAGGAAGAUACGGCUAACUCGGUGCCAGCAGCCGCGGUACUACAGAGGUGUCAAGCGUUGUUCGGAAUCAGUGGGCUUAAAGGGUGCGUAGGCUGUUUCGUAAGUCGGGUGUGAAAGGCGCGGGCUCAACCCGCGAACGGCACAUGAUACUGCGAGACUAGAGUAAUGGAGGGGGAACCGGAAUUCUCGGUGUAGCAGUGAAAUGCGUAGAUAUC